Molecule: RNA transcript, 1001 nt
Organism: Hibiscus syriacus
Lineage: Eukaryota; Viridiplantae; Streptophyta; Magnoliopsida; Malvales; Malvaceae
Gene name: BI1-like protein
Exons: 5
Source: RefSeq, a predicted model, not a curated record
CGCCAGCCUAAGUUGUUUUCCCACAUUUUCUUUCUUCCGCUCUCAUUUUACGGGAAAACGAGAAAGAAAAAGAAAAGAUGUACGGAUUCGACCGCAUAAGCAACACGAGCGGCGGCGGCAAGGCGGAUGAGAUAGAUCUAGAGUCGGGGGAGACUUUAUACCCGGGACUCAGCUACGGCGAGAACCAACUCCGUUGGGGCUUUAUCCGCAAGGUUUACGGCAUCUUGGCGGCCCAACUGAUUCUAACAACCGUCGUCUCCGCCUUCGUCGUUUUGUCGGAUCCAGUCAACGACCUCCUCCGUGGAAAUUCCGGCCUCUUACUCUUCCUGUGUUUAAUCCCCUGCAUCUUGUUGUGGCCUUUGCAUGUCUAUCACCAAAAGCACCCAGUGAACUUGGUUAUCCUUGGCCUCUUCACCGUGUCAUUGAGUCUCACGGUUGGUGUGAGCUGUGCUAAUACAGAUGGAAGAAUUGUACUUGAAGCGCUAAUUUUGACAGCAGUUGUGGUUGCAUCUCUUACCGGCUACACUUUCUGGGCGUCGAAGAAGGGCAAGGACUUUAGCUAUCUGGGGCCAAUUUUGUUCACCAGCCUUAUUAUCCUUAUCUUAACUGGUCUAAUCCAGAUGUUCUUUCCACUCGGCCCUGCAUCUACUGCUGUGUAUGGUGGAAUUAGUGCCAUGAUUUUCUGUGGGUACAUAGUGUACGACACUGACAACCUGAUCAAACGUUUCACAUAUGAUGAUUACAUAUUGGCCUCUGCCACUCUCUAUUUGGACGUCCUGAAUUUGUUCAUCUCCAUUCUACGGGUUCUGAGAUCUGGCGAUAACUAGUUAUACAACAUGUCAGAAAGUGAUCAAGUAAUUGCCUGAAGAAUAUUUGUCUAUAUAUAAGGUGAAAUAAAUAGUAAAGGAGGGAGUCGGCUGGAACAUCCGACGUCUUUGAGAAGUCGACCGAAACAUCUGACGUCUUUGAGAAGCUGGCCGGAGCAUUCGGCAUCAUCCCAU